UACGGAGGGUGCAAACGUUGCUCGGAAUCAUUGGGCGUAAAGCGCGCGUAGGCGGCGAGGCAAGUUGGAUGUGAAAGCCCUGGGCUCAACCUAGGAUGUGCAUACAAAACUGCCUCGCUUGAAUCUCGGAGGGGGUCAGGGAAUUCCCGGUGUAGAGGUGAAAUUCGUAGAUAUCGGGAGGAACACCAGUGGCGAAGGCACUGACCUGGACGAUGAUUGACGCUGAGGCGCGAAAGCGUGGGGAGCAAACAGG
Molecule: ribosomal RNA, 253 nt
Filed under: uncultured bacterium
Lineage: Bacteria
Description: partial 16S ribosomal RNA
Rfam family: Bacterial small subunit ribosomal RNA
Source: RNAcentral